Erpetoichthys calabaricus (reedfish) is the source of this 70-nucleotide small nucleolar RNA. Lineage: Eukaryota; Metazoa; Chordata; Cladistia; Polypteriformes; Polypteridae. The record is from Ensembl.
CUGGAAGUGAUGCAGACCUUCAGGCUUGAUGAUCAGUGAUUGACUUUUGUAUUCAUACUGUCUGAUCCAG